UGCACCAUCAGGGCCCUCGCCCUCACCCUCCCCUCUCACCAUCACCGUCACCGUCGCCGUCACCACGGGUUGCAUAUCAGUCUUGCUGUGUUUUACGUUGCUCGUUUUUAUUUUAUUUGCACAGGCAUCCGUCGCGCUGUGCUACGUAUACUGACACCCACACACAGCUCUCUUCCUUCGUACUCCACAGAGGCAGACACACGCACACGUACGCCUGUGCACGUGUGCCCGUGGGUGUGCCGUAGUUAUGCCUUCCACUUCUUCCCUCUCCUUCCGCCUCUCCUAACCCAUUACACGCUUCCGUCCGUCCCCCAUCCCAACGGUUGCUCGCAUGUCCUCUGCCGAGUUUGUGCGCAACGUGGAUGCGCGCACAACCAUCUAUCGCUGGGAAGCUGCGGGGCUGGACGAGUUGAACCGCCAGAACAAGCUUUCCUCCCUCCCCUUCUGGAUCCCGAAUUCUGCGACGCGACACCAUCAGUUCAGGGUCGUGCUGCUGCGCGGGUUGGUGCAGACUGCGACCCCCGCCAGUGACCCUUUUGGGGUACUCGUCGAGCUUAUCGCGCCUCCACCACCCCCGGUGGGGACGGCGAACGUGUCGGCAGCAUCGGCCGCAGUGCCGUCUUCCUCGUCCUCCGGCGACUUCCCAGGCGGCUGCUCCGUGACGUGCGAGGUGCUCCCCAUUGACUCGGUUACUCCAACGGCGGCAGAGGAAAAACAGCGUGGACGCGACGACGGGAUCGAUGCGGCGCAGAGAAAGGCGAUCACGUCCACCAAGGUGACAGUACUGGACGCGAACAACGCGCAGGUGAGCUUCCCGGACUUCAUUUCGGCAGACGUGCUACACGACACGCGCUACGUCAGGGGAUCACCGAAGUCCUUCACGCUGCAAAUCACUAUCGAGACGGGCAUCAGCGUUCCACUGCACCAGGCCGCCACGACCGCCCUCGCGUUCUUCUCCUCCCUGACGACGUCGAUGGGCCACUUGCUUGGCAAUACCGCGCAGCUCGGCCACGGCGGGCGCGAGAGCAUCCGCAGCGCUCUUCUCGCGCCCGCCGUGCUUUGGAACGGCACCGCGUCCUCGCCGCCUGCGACGGCGCCAACGAAGGCGGCUGCUUGGACGGCGGCUGCCCUGCCGCCGUGGGAGCAGCCGCCAGAGGAGUGGCGUGACCGCGCCGCUGAGUGGCACUCUCUUGUGAGAGAGCGGUUGCCCCGGCUGGGCGGUACGUAUCGACAUGGGGUGGAGAAGACUCUCUCGCCGGACGAGGUGGGGCUGCUGGCGGAGGUCGGCCUUGUGGAGGCGGACUUGUGGGCGCUUCACAGCCUGUUCGACUUUGACCGCGAUGUCCAGGAGGGCCUUCUCGCCUCUGCCGAGGUGCGGGCGCAUCGCUAUCGCCUGGUUCCGGCCCGCCUCAAGGAGGAGACCUUCUGGGCCAACUACUUCUGGAAGGUGCACUGCGUCGGCCAGUGCGUGACGGAGCGGCAGGUGGCAACGGUGCUUGUGGCACUGUGCAUGCCUUCACGGUCUGUUCACGCAAACCUCUCCACCCCUGUAGAGGUGCCGCGGCACAUCCUCGAUGGCGAGGAGGCCGCCGCUGUCGUGGAGGACUUCGUCAAGCGCGGCGAGGCGGCCGAGCCGUGGUGCACCGUGGCAGCAGAGACGGCGCGCCACUGCAGAAACGUGCUAGAUACUGCGUCGCAACGUGCCGACGUCGCACCCAACACACGCAAGCAGGUCGAGUCGACCCUCUCCAGCUUGGAGAAGGUGCUGCUGUGGUACGGCAAUGCGCUAGAAGGGCCCACAGGUCCACCCGCUCUGUCCGUCGGCGCCGAUGCGGGUGCCGCCGCCGCCGCUGCUGCUGCUUCAUCGGCACCACUACAGAUGGAGGAGACGCAGACCCCGCCGAGGGAGCAGCAGCAGCGAGAACCGUCUCCCACAGCUUCCCCGGCCGCCACCGUUCCCUCUGCUGUGGAGACGGCCACACAGUUGCCCCGCGACGGCACCAGCGGCGGCUUGCGGAGCGUCAGCCAAGUCGCAUUUGUGAAGAUGCCCUGGGAAGAGGAGGACGAUGUGUAGGAGCGGACGAUGUGAGUAGGCCGAUGUAACAAGAGCAUCAAGCGAGCCGGGGAGAAGGAGCGAUGUAGGGCGGUGAGGUGAGGUGUUAGCGACUGCAUCACUGCGUGCUGUUGCCGCAUUCAAGCAGUGAUUUUUCGAUCUGCGCAUGUGCACGUUGCACUGUCGACGCGAUGAUUUUUUUUUCUCUCAACGCCCCACACGCAGCGCCUCCCCUCCCCCCCCCCCCCCCCCCCGCACUUCUCCUGGCACCACCGCCAUCAACUCGACCUCGGCACGUCACCUGCCGUCUUCGCACGCUCCUACUCGCCUUGGGGAGGGGGGGGGAGUAUAUCGCCUUUUUGGAACACCCGCGGAUAGGCUCACGUGUAUAAGGGGACGUGUACACGCACGUCGCAGUGCACGACCGCACCUGUCCGUGUGUGCGUGCGCCACCCCCAUGCACCGCGUGCGUCUACCUCCUCGCCUCUUCUACGUCAUGUCGGCUUCUCUCUUUGUCGUGUGUGUUGUCGCGUUGGGCGUGCGUGCUGCUGUGCUUAUUACUUCAGUCCUCGGCUCUUCUCUCCCUUUCGCUGUAUCACGCAGGUGAAAGCUCCCCCCUCCCUCCCCCAACCCAUACGACGGCGCGCACCGAGAGGACCUCUCGCGCCAUCUCCCUUUCUCCUGGUGCUCGUGUGCACGCGUUUCUCGCACGUGACGGAGGGGUCUCUGCUAUGCGCCCCUCUCAUCCUGCGCGGACAUCUUCUCCCCUUCCCUCCGCCGACUCGCUUGCGCUCGCGCCUGCUCACUGUCGAACGCGCCGCAUCGUGCACGGCGCUCUCUCUGAAUUCGCGUCUCUGUAUUCACCCUCUUCUGUCCUCUCUCCAG
This 2938-nucleotide unclassified non-coding RNA is filed under the name Leishmania donovani. Its description in RNAcentral is "gene:LdHU3.01.0090(CDS-product:BSD_domain_contain ing_protein_putative)". The record is from RNAcentral. Lineage: Eukaryota; Euglenozoa; Kinetoplastea; Trypanosomatida; Trypanosomatidae.